RNAcentral lists this ribosomal RNA (305 nucleotides) under uncultured bacterium. Its description in RNAcentral is "bacterial SSU rRNA". It matches the Rfam family "Bacterial small subunit ribosomal RNA", at positions 334 to 656 of the family's 1533-position model. The record is from RNAcentral.
UAAACCUACGGGAGGCAGCAGUGGGGAAUAUUGGGCAAUGGGCGCAAGCCUGACCCAGCGACGCCGCGUGUAGGAAGACGGUCCUCUGGAUUGUAAACUACUGUCCCCAGGGACGAAGAUGACGGUACCUGGGGAGGAAGCUCCGGCUAACUACGUGCCAGCAGCCGCGGUAAUACGUAGGGAGCGAGCGUUGUCCGGAAUUACUGGGUGUAAAGGGAGCGUAGGCGGGGAUGCAAGUUGGGUGUUAAAUCUACCGGCUCAACUGGUAGUCGCACUCAAAACUGCAGCUCUUGAGUGAGGUAGAG